AUCUAUCUUGCUGUGUUUGGACAGGCCAGCCCCUGAAACAUCUUGGGCAAUGGAGGGUUAACUUCUCAAAGUUUAAUAGGCAAGACCAGCAACCACGCAACAAGGACUUCAACUAACCAACUAAAGAACUGUUCCCCAGAGCAUUGUUCCUGAGAAGGAAAAGAGUCCAAACACCCACCCACACCUGCUUUGUGCCAAGAAUCCACAGUUGGAUUGCAAGGACAGUGCGUUCAAGACCCAGCUGUUGAGAGUAGAAAAGCAGAAGAAAGGACCCGAGGUCAGCAAGUGCCCUCCCUACAAUGGGGCAGGUCUGCCAGGGAGAAUCGGCUACAGCAGCUGAAAAACCAAAACUUCAUCUACUUACUGAAAGUGAGCAUUGUUGAUGCUCUUGAGAGCAUCAGCCAGGACAUUCAUGUGCACCACUGUGGUGGCGUGGAAAGAUGGCAAAAAGAGCCCUACGUGAUUUUAUUGACAAGUAUCUCUAUGCCAUGCGGCUCUCCGAUGAAACUCUCAUAGAUAUCAUGACUCGCUUCAGGAAGGAGAUGAAGAAUGGCCUCUCCCGGGAUUUUAAUCCAACAGCCACAGUCAAGAUGUUGCCAACAUUCGUAAGGUCCAUUCCUGAUGGCUCUGAAAAGGGAGAUUUCAUUGCCCUGGAUCUUGGUGGGUCUUCCUUUCGAAUUCUGCGGGUGCAAGUGAAUCAUGAGAAAAACCAGAAUGUUCACAUGGAGUCCGAGGUUUAUGACACCCCAG
Molecule: small RNA, 750 nt
Filed under: Pan troglodytes (chimpanzee)
Lineage: Eukaryota; Metazoa; Chordata; Mammalia; Primates; Hominidae
Description: processed transcript
Source: RNAcentral